Molecule: ribosomal RNA, 873 nt
Filed under: uncultured bacterium
Lineage: Bacteria
Description: bacterial SSU rRNA
Rfam family: Bacterial small subunit ribosomal RNA
Source: RNAcentral
AGAGUUUGAUCCUGGCUCAGGAUGAACGCUGGCGGCGUGCCUAAUACAUGCAAGUCGAACGCUUUGUGCUUAAUUGAUAUGAUGAGCUUGCUCUGAUUUGAUUUUUUGAUUUCAAAGAGUGGCGAACGGGUGAGUAACACGUGGGUAACCUACCUCUUAGCAGGGGAUAACAUUUGGAAACAAGUGCUAAUACCGUAUAAUACCAACAACCGCAUGGUUGUUGGUUGAAAGAUGGUUCUGCUAUCACUAAGAGAUGGACCCGCGGUGCAUUAGCUAGUUGGUAAGGUAAUGGCUUACCAAGGCAAUGAUGCAUAGCCGAGUUGAGAGACUGAUCGGCCACAAUGGGACUGAGACACGGCCCAUACUCCUACGGGAGGCAGCAGUAGGGAAUCUUCCACAACGGGCGCAAGCCUGAUGGAGCAACGCCGCGUGUGUGAUGAAGGGUUUCGGCUCGUAAAACACUGUUAUAAGAGAAGAACGGCACUGAGAGUAACUGUUCAGUGUGUGACGGUAUCUUACCAGAAAGGAACGGCUAAAUACGUGCCAGCAGCCGCGGUAAUACGUAUGUUCCAAGCGUUAUCCGGAUUUAUUGGGCGUAAAGCGAGCGCAGACGGUUAUUUAAGUCUGAAGUGAAAGCCCUCAGCUCAACUGAGGAAUUGCUUUGGAAACUGGAUGACUUGAGUGCAGUAGAGGAAAGUGGAACUCCAUGUGUAGCGGUGAAAUGCGUAGAUAUAUGGAAGAACACCAGUGGCGAAGGCGGCUUUCUGGACUGUAACUGACGUUGAGGCUCGAAAGUGUGGGUAGCAAACAGGAUUAGAUACCCUGGUAGUCCACACCGUAAACGAUGAGUGCUAGAUGUUCGAGGGUUUCCGC